GCUGCUCCCUUAGGUCAGCGGCGGACGGGUGAGUAACACGUGGGUAACCUGCCUGUAAGACUGGGAUAACUCCGGGGAAAACCGGGGCUAAUACCGGAUGCUUGAUUGAACCGCAUGGUUCAAUNAUAAAAGGUGGCUUUCAGCUACCACUUGCAGAUGGACCCGCGGCGCAUUAGCUAGUUGGUGAGGUAACGGCUCACCAAGGCGACGAUGCGUAGCCGACCUGAGAGGGUGAUCGGCCACACUGGGACUGAGACACGGCCCAGACUCCUACGGGAGGCAGCAGUGGUCUA
This 293-nucleotide ribosomal RNA is filed under the name Bacillus sp. KB5. RNAcentral describes it as "partial 16S ribosomal RNA". It matches the Rfam family "Bacterial small subunit ribosomal RNA", at positions 78 to 357 of the family's 1533-position model. Lineage: Bacteria; Bacillati; Bacillota; Bacilli; Caryophanales; Bacillaceae. The record is from RNAcentral.